RNAcentral lists this ribosomal RNA (812 nucleotides) under Streptomyces sp. RNAcentral describes it as "bacterial SSU rRNA". It matches the Rfam family "Bacterial small subunit ribosomal RNA", at positions 90 to 917 of the family's 1533-position model. Lineage: Bacteria; Bacillati; Actinomycetota; Actinomycetes; Kitasatosporales; Streptomycetaceae. The record is from RNAcentral.
GAUUAGUGGCGACGGGUGAGUAACACGUGGGCAAUCUGCCCUGCACUCUGGGACAAGCCCUGGAAACGGGGUCUAAUACCGGAUACUGAUCCGUCUGGGCAUCCAGACGGUUCGAAAGCUCCGGCGGUGCAGGAUGAGCCCGCGGCCUAUCAGCUUGUUGGUGAGGUAGUGGCUCACCAAGGCGACGACGGGUAGCCGGCCUGAGAGGGCGACCGGCCACACUGGGACUGAGACACGGCCCAGACUCCUACGGGAGGCAGCAGUGGGGAAUAUUGCACAAUGGGCGAAAGCCUGAUGCAGCGACGCCGCGUGAGGGAUGACGGCCUUCGGGUUGUAAACCUCUUUCAGCAGGGAAGAAGCGAAAGUGACGGUACCUGCAGAAGAAGCGCCGGCUAACUACGUGCCAGCAGCCGCGGUAAUACGUAGGGCGCAAGCGUUGUCCGGAAUUAUUGGGCGUAAAGAGCUCGUAGGCGGCUUGUCACGUCGGUUGUGAAAGCCCGGGGCUUAACCCCGGGUCUGCAGUCGAUACGGGCAGGCUAGAGUUCGGUAGGGGAGAUCGGAAUUCCUGGUGUAGCGGUGAAAUGCGCAGAUAUCAGGAGGAACACCGGUGGCGAAGGCGGAUCUCUGGGCCGAUACUGACGCUGAGGAGCGAAAGCGUGGGGAGCGAACAGGAUUAGAUACCCUGGUAGUCCACGCCGUAAACGGUGGGCACUAGGUGUGGGCAACAUUCCACGUUGUCCGUGCCGCAGCUAACGCAUUAAGUGCCCCGCCUGGGGAGUACGGCCGCAGGCUAAACUCAAGGAAUUGACGGG